Molecule: ribosomal RNA, 253 nt
Filed under: uncultured bacterium
Lineage: Bacteria
Description: partial 16S ribosomal RNA
Rfam family: Bacterial small subunit ribosomal RNA
Source: RNAcentral
UACGAAGGGGGCUAGCGUUGCUCGGAAUUACUGGGCGUAAAGGGCUCGUAGGCGGCCAACUAAGUCAGACGUGAAAUCCCUCGGCUUAACCGGGGAACUGCGUCUGAUACUGGAUGGCUUGAGUUCGGGAGAGGGAUGCGGAAUUCCAGGUGUAGCGGUGAAAUGCGUAGAUAUCUGGAGGAACACCGGUGGCGAAGGCGGCAUCCUGGACCGACACUGACGCUGAGGCGCGAAAGCUAGGGGAGCAAACGGG